GUUAGCGCCCUCCCUCGACCAUCAGCGCACCUGCAGUUACAUCGCCGGCCGCUGGGAGUUAUUCCCAGUGUCACCGGCGUGGGGGAGGUCAUGGUAGUGGAGGGACGAUUUCUUUUGAAGAGGCAUCUUGAAGGAUUUCAAAGUUUUUCUUAGAUCAUAGCUAUCGCAUGCAAAUGUUUUGAUAUUUUCUGUAUUUUUGUGUCUAACAGCACACCACCCUUCAUCAAUUGCAUAAUGUGAUAUGGAGUAUUGCGAAAUUAAAUUAAUUUCUUGGAAUUCCUGUAAAUUCUAAACAAGUCUUAGACUAAUCACGCAUGGUUCCAGGUAAAACAAAUACACAUUGAAUCCCGUGAUAUGGUACUAGUUUUUAAAGUGGAAACAUUACAUAUACAUUACAUUACAAGCAUUUGGUAGACGCUCUUAUCCAGAGCGACGUACAACAAAGUGUAUAACCAUAAUUAUUUGUUACUAAGAUUACUAAUGUAAGACACAAAUUAUUUGUUUUGUGGUCAGAAAUGAACGUUAUUAUAUUGGUGUGAGCUAUUUGUUUUUUUUUUUUCAAAUUGAGCUGUUUAAUGUGUUUCUGACGUUUUUCUCGUAAAGCGAGAGGAGCAGCCCUCAACUAAAUUAAAAUAGGAUCAAGUAUUUUCUUGCAGGGGGCGCUCGUGCUCAGUGAUUCCACGAUGACUCCUUUGUCAAGAUAUUAGAUCCCCAUGUUUGGGUGUGGAUAUUAGAUAAAUGUCUGGGGAGUACUACAUGAGUGGGUAGUCCCCGUAUUUCAUUUUAACUGUGAGAACUGAAUAUUUGACAAAGUUUGCCUGUUGUAUUUCUAUUUUAUUUAUAUAUAUAUUUUUUAAAUGAAGGUAAGGCAGAAGUGCCUUAUUAAUAAGCCAAGUCAGCCACACAGAAUAGUGAGUUCCCAGCAGAGGGUAGUACCCCCAAAACUUUUAAGGGGUCACAAACUCAAACAAAAUAUUCAUGGAUUAUGUCCACAAUACAAUUACAUUUUUCUUCAAUAAUUUGUUUCCCCUAUUUUACUGCUAAUUAUUGCUAUUUAUAGUGAUGGUAUUACACUUCCAACAGUAACACCACACCAUAAAACACAUAGAAUAUUUCAACAACAUAUUGUAUUAAAUGGUGCUGCUAUAAAUAUAUCAGGACAACAAUGAUAAUAUUUAGUUCACAUUUUGCAAUAAGUAGAGUACUGUACUCCAUAACUCAAUUCUAUACUUUCUUUCAAGCAAACAAAGAGCUGCAUGGGUCAGCACAGAAAUAUUAUGUCUUAAAUUUACACUGCAUGGCAAAAAGUAUGUGGACACCUGACAUCCAAUAUCUCAAAAAUUAUGAGCAUUCGUUUGGAGUUGGUACACCAUUUGCUGACGUAACACCCUCCACUCUUCUGGGAAGGCUUUAUACUAGAUGUUGGAGCAUUGCUUCAUGGAUUUGCUUCCAUUCAGCCAGAAGAGCAUCAGUGAGGUCAGGCACCGAUUGGGGGAUUAGGCUCACAGUUGGCUUUCCAAUUGAUCCCAAAGGUGUUGGUUGAUGUCAGGGCUCUGUGCAGGCCAGUCAAGUUCUUCCACACCGUUCUUGACAAACCAUUUCUAUAUGUACCUUGCUGUGUGUCCAGGGGUGUUGUUUUGCUGAAACAGGAAAGGGCCUUUCGCAAACUGUUGGGGAAGCGCAAAAUCAUCAUGCCUUCACUGGAAUUAAGGGGCCGAGCCCAAAUGAUGAAAAACAGCCCCAGACUAAGGGGUGUCCAGAUACUUUUGGUCAUAUAGUGUAUAGUAUGGUGUGUGUUAAAAAGAGAGAUAGAGAGCAACCAAAAGUGAUUCUUAGGUACCAACCUUAACGUCUGUCUGCAUGCCUCCAGAACGCAUCUGCCUGUCUCUCUUGGUUCACUGACUCGGUCCUCUUUGUCUGUGACCCCUCAGUUUGAAUGGGCACAGCGCCACUGGUUCCCAGUACCCCCUUAGAGACCCAACCUGGUUCGCUCAGUCUGGCUCCCAGAAAAUCACUCCUCCCCACCCAUGGGGAUGUAUGCAAAAUGGUGGCAGUAUGUCCUUCAGAUGAGGGCUACACAGGUGCACCGCCAGGCGACGAUUGAGGAUUCUGCCUGGCCAAGCAACUGAUCCACACAGGAUUCCCCAGCAGUCCACAAGCCUCCAGACUUCUGUGGCAAGUCAUUCAGCAUUGUGACUGGCAGACCUCAAACAGACAUAUUCUCCAGGAAACGACCCGUUUCUCAUGAGUCAGGGAAGAGCGGGAUGCAAGUCUUAUAGCAGAGAUCAAGCCCAAUGGAAACAACUUAAGGAGGUGUGCAACAGUAUAUUCCUUUUGAAUUCAUUUGAAUAAUUACUUCACAAGGAUGCUUUGCAUGUGGUUUGGCACAAAAUGUACAAUUGCUUACAUCCAUUGGCUAUGAUCUGUUGUAUUUUAUGUAUUCUAUUAAGAGGGGAGAGCAGGUAGUAUAUGGAAAGCCUGUUCUCAGUACAAAGAGCUUCUUUGGAGGAGGUGGUGUUAUUGGACGGCAGCUCUGUUGCCCCAAAUUCCAUCAUGUCAUGAGAUAAAAUCCUGUAAUGCCUGUAAGACGCAUGCAAUGGUCCUGUUUCGUGUCAUAUAUGUAAAGUGAAGAGCUGGGUAGUUUGCAUGUUAAACAUGUACUGUUCUUUGUCAAGAGGUUUCUUCGUUUUCUGUCCAAAUUGUGAACACUUUCUAGUCAUAUUCAUGCAGCAUUGAGUUUGGAUCUUUUCAGGGUUUCCCACAUGAAAGGCAGCUUGCUUUUCUUGGAUACUCCUGGAAUUGGUUCAAUUAAUCCAUUCUGUCACAGUUGUACUAGCAACAGACUGGGAUAGCCCCAAAUCCUCACAGUGAUACAGCUGCAUCUUGCCCAUUGGAAGUUUUAAUGACUUUAAUUUCUUGCAGUGGAAGCAAAAUUGAAAAUAUAAUAGAUGUAUUAACUCCACAUCAUACAAUAACAAAAUCAUAUCACUUUUCAUGUGUAUAUAGUAAAUUUAUGAUAACUUUCAAAGUUUUAGAAUAAAAUAAAUAUACCUAA
Molecule: long non-coding RNA, 3055 nt
Organism: Anguilla anguilla (European eel)
Lineage: Eukaryota; Metazoa; Chordata; Actinopteri; Anguilliformes; Anguillidae
Exons: 2
Source: RefSeq, a predicted model, not a curated record